RNAcentral lists this long non-coding RNA (1540 nucleotides) under Oryctolagus cuniculus (rabbit). Its description in RNAcentral is "lncRNA (ENSOCUG00000031697.1)". The record is from RNAcentral. Lineage: Eukaryota; Metazoa; Chordata; Mammalia; Lagomorpha; Leporidae.
AUAUAUAGCAAGAGAGAUAUAAAAUAGUAACUAUCGUUGCUGCUUUGGGCUGCUUUGGAGGAGGCUACGAGUAUGGGGAAGGCAGAGAUGGGGCACAGGGGUGGAGCAGGAGGCUGGGGGGACCCAGCGUUCCGUACAAUCCAGGGAUGCAACACGGGCUUGUUUGAUUUUUGUGCCUGAACAGUUUUUCCCAUGUUGAGAAAAAAAGGAAAAAAAAAAAAAAAACUGCUGCAAUUUUUCACAAGUGUAUAGCCCUUCUCUCGAGGCUGCUGGUGUAACUACUACAGGUGGGGGACAAUUCAUUGGCAAGCCCACCUGGGAUGGAAAGUGGGGACACCAGGAUGGAGGAGGAGGAGGGGGAGAGCCUGCUUGUUGGUUUUCCCAAGGCCCACGUUGCGCUUGUCUGUUCCCUUCACCUGGGCCCUGCUCCGAAGCUCCUGCUGGCUGGGCUGGGGUGGCAGCACUAACCUGGAUAUUGCAGUGGGAGACAAGAAGCCAAACUAAGGUAGCAAUGGCCAAGAGAGGGGUGCAGGACAAGCCUGGGAGGGGAAGAGGGUGGGGAGCGGGCCUGUGUGCUGGCAGCAUCCCCCAGGCCUCGGCGGCCUGUGGGGCAGACAGGGUCCCUGCCUCCUGGGUGUAUCAUAGAGUUCGUUCGCAUAGUGUGAUGCAUGAUGCUCGUGAGGUUACGAAGCCGUGGUGGUGCACCAUGACAUCCGACCCCCAUAGAUAAAGAUAAAUAUAUAUAUAUGUAUGUAAAUUAUAGCACUGAGGGCCCUGCGGCCCUGCUGGACCAAGCAAAACUAAGCCUUUUGGUCUGGGUAUUUUGUUUUCGUUUUGUUUCUUGUUUGUUUCUGUGGCUUGUCUUACGUCGUGACAGCACAAGUGCCAGUCCGAUUGCUCUGUAUUACAGAAUAGUGUUUUUAAUUCAUCAACGUUCUAGUAAUUGUCUACCUCAGCACCUCCUCUUAGCCUAAUUUUAGGAGGUUGCCCAAUUUUGUUUCUUCAAUUUUACUGGUUCCUUUUUGUACAAAUGCACCUCCACCUCUGUCUCUAUCUUUUUCCUUCCUCCACUCUCUCUCUCCCGCCCCCGUCCCGCCUCCCGGCCCUCCCAGUUCUGUGUGUGCCAUCCUCGCCCCGCCCCCAGUUGGUCUGCUUGCCAGUCUUAGCCGUUCUCCUGCCCGAGCAGUUGACUCAAAGUUGCAGCUUUCCGCAUCUGCCUUCGUUUUGUGUAGAUUGCCGCGUUUCUUUGUAAUUUCAGUGUUUCUGAAAAGAUUUAAAAAGGAAAAAAAAAAAAAAAGAAAAAUCAAAUUUACUGCUGCAGGUUUUUUUCUCUCUCCAUGUGUCACUAAGUGAAGUUUGUGCCUUCUAUAGCAAAGAGAAUAUUUUUUACAUCCUACUAACAGUAGAUUUUUUUGUAGUGAACAUUUUUUGUAUUUUUAUUUAUAAGUCUCAUAAGAAAAAUAGCAAUGUUCAGUUGUAUACCUUGAAUCUGCAGUUAGAAGAGAAUAAAGUUAAUUCAGUUGUCUCUGGUUCGAAGUGU